GUAGGUGGCAAGCGUUGUCCGGAAUUAUUGGGCGUAAAGCGCGCGCAGGCGGUUCUUUAAGUCUGAUGUGAAAGCCCACGGCUCAACCGUGGAGGGUCAUUGGAAACUGGAGAACUUGAGUACAGAAGAGGAAAGCGGAAUUCCACGUGUAGCGGUGAAAUGCGUAGAGAUGUGGAGGAACACCAGUGGCGAAGGCGGCUUUCUGGUCUGUAACUGACGCUGAGGCGCGAAAGCGUGGGGAGCAAACAGGGAUUAGAUACCCUGGUAGUCCACGCCGUAAACGAUGAGUGCUAAGUGUUAGGGGGUUUCCGCUCCUUAGUGCUGCAGCUAACGUAUUAAGCACUCCGCCUGGGGAUACGGCCGCAAGGCUG
RNAcentral lists this ribosomal RNA (371 nucleotides) under uncultured organism. RNAcentral's name for it is "partial 16S ribosomal RNA". It matches the Rfam family "Bacterial small subunit ribosomal RNA", at positions 527 to 896 of the family's 1533-position model. The record is from RNAcentral.